UACGUAGGUGGCAAGCGUUGUCCGGAUUUACUGGGCGUAAAGAGCGCGCAGGCGGUCGUUCAAGUCGCGUGUGAAAGCCCCCGGCUCAACUGGGGAGGGUCACGCGAUACUGAUCGACUCGAAGGCAGGAGAGGGAAGUGGAAUUCCCGGUGUAGCAGUGAAAUGCGUAGAGAUCGGGAGGAACAUCAGUUGCGAAGGCGGCUCUCUGGACCAGCACUGACACUGAGGCACGAAAGCGUGGGGAGCAAACAGG
This 253-nucleotide ribosomal RNA is filed under the name uncultured bacterium. RNAcentral describes it as "partial 16S ribosomal RNA". It matches the Rfam family "Bacterial small subunit ribosomal RNA", at positions 524 to 776 of the family's 1533-position model. The record is from RNAcentral.